Non-coding RNA from Pelobates cultripes (western spadefoot toad), 358 nucleotides. Lineage: Eukaryota; Metazoa; Chordata; Amphibia; Anura; Pelobatidae. The record is from the annotation of a GenBank genome assembly.
AAUAAAGGAUCUCUGGAGCUUUGCCUUCAAAGCCAGGGCCAGUAGCUUCCCGCUUUUGUUGCCGUGGGCAUAGAAGGAGCUCCAUCGGCAGUUGGACCGACCUAUGUGCUUUUAGGGCUAAUAGGGAUCAGAGUUCUAUCCUGAGGGCUGUGAGCUUUUGAAAGGUUUCCUGCGUGGGGUCCUGUUUAUGUAGGAUCUUCUUCUCAUGUAUGGCGUCUGAUAGGGCGAUCUGUUUGUAUGUUUGCUCUUUCUUAAUUCUAGAUCCCAAUUUGAUCAGGGUACCCCUAAUGACCCCCUUGUGGGCUUCCCAGAUCCAUGAAUCUGAGACCUCUGCUGUGGCAUUGUCUGUGAAUUAGUG